This 385-nucleotide non-coding RNA is filed under the name Drosophila willistoni. Its description in RNAcentral is "Eukaryotic small subunit ribosomal RNA". It matches the Rfam family "Eukaryotic small subunit ribosomal RNA", at positions 1 to 672 of the family's 1831-position model. The record is from Rfam by way of RNAcentral. Lineage: Eukaryota; Metazoa; Arthropoda; Insecta; Diptera; Drosophilidae.
AUUCUGGGUGAUCCUGCCAGUAGUUAUAUGCUUGUCUCAAAGAUUAAGCCAUGCAUGUCUAAGUACACACGAAUUAAAAGUGAAACCGCAAAAGGCUCAUUAUAUCAAUUAUGGUUCCUUAGAUCGUUAACAAUUACUUGGAUAACUGUGGUAAUUCUAGAGCUAAUACAUGCAAUAAAAACACGGACCUUCUGGGACGACUCAUAUCCGAGGCCCUGUAAUUGGAAUGAGUACACUUUAAAUCCUUUAACAAGGACCAAUUGGAGGGCAAGUCUGGUGCCAGCAGCCGCGGUAACUCCAGCUCCAAUAGCGUAUAUUAAAGUUGUUGCGGUUAAAACGUUCGUAGUUGAACUUGUGCUUCAUACGGGUAGUACAACAUACAUUG